RNAcentral lists this ribosomal RNA (840 nucleotides) under Triticum aestivum (bread wheat). Its description in RNAcentral is "partial small subunit ribosomal RNA". Lineage: Eukaryota; Viridiplantae; Streptophyta; Magnoliopsida; Poales; Poaceae. The record is from RNAcentral.
AUGCAGAUGUUUGGCAAGCAAGACGAGGAGGAUGAUUUCAAUGGUAUUACUGAUCAGCAAUCUCGGGCUGGGAUAGCAGAGGUCGCAAUAGAGAUCCAGAGGAGCAUACAGGGCAGCAGGUUUUUGCUGGUUCUUCACAAUGGAAGCAACGAGGAGAUUGACAUAUCUAGCCUUGGUCUUCCUGUAUAUGAAUAUUUGACCAACAAGGUGAUAUGGACCUUCCAAGGGAGGUUUCGGAUGGAUCCCAAUAUGAAAGACAAGGCCAUCAAGAAGGAUAUAACAAAUGUUCUUCUCUCAGCUUCAUGCUACGAGAAAAACCCACAAGAUCUCUGGUACUAUCUACUGCGCAAAGAGGCUACACUAGUUGCAUAUAAGAGUGGUGUUGAUCCUGAAAUACUUGUUCAGUGCUUCUUGUAUAUGUUGACAAUACAUUGCACCAGCCGCCAUUAUGUCGACAGCGAGUAUGAUUUGGCUACCCAUGCAUGCAACUAUUGGAUAUGUGAUGGAAUCAUACAGAAAGCCACAGACAUUGCUGAAGCAUGGCAAGUUGGUGAGAGACUGCAAGGUGAUAUCCGAUGGAAUAUGGACUACCGCGACAAUGAAUUUCCCUCUCGCUUUCUAUGGUAUGCUGAGUGCGUACCACACUGGGCAUCACCAGCUCAUGGAUUUGUGCUGGUCCCUGAUGGAGUCGUUCCUAACAGAAUGUUCCAGCAUUUUGACAAGCUUGGCGUGAUGAAACUCUCAAGAUGUAGCUUUAGCUUUUCAUCACCUCCAUUUCUCUGCUGCCACAGCCUUAGAUUUUUAUGGCUUGACCACUGUCAAAACCUAGGAAAGAGAUGA